AGCUCUAUCAUUUAAACAAUCUAUCAUUUUUGUUUUCCUGAGUAAAACGUUCCACAAGUGUUCCUAAAACUUUCGAAUAUGCUGCCAAUAUACGUGGAACGUUUCAGAGUAAAUGUAGGAGUGAUCAAAGAAUGAGCAAACGAAAAUUGGCAGGACGUGCUAAACGAAUCUAAUCUGAUCGUAUGAACUAAACUAAUAUGGAUCCUGCUCGUCAGGCCAAAUUACGUCAAAUGAACCCUUAAUAAUAGUCAAUUGUUAGUGACGUAUAAAUAUAAAGUCCGCGUGCUUGGUCACUGAUGGGUAGGGUCACCAUAAGUGCUUCACCGAUCCUACUAAAACGCUAAUCAGAAAACGGAUGACAUAUCCGGCAUGGCUCUUCGCUCUCCGGAGUUGUUUGGUUACUACAUUUUUUAAAUAAAUUACAUCAAUUUUACUUUUUUUCGUUUCAUUGGAUCUGAGUUCUAAAGUUACCGAAAUCCUCUACGAAGACGUUUCUGGGAUAUUCGAGAACGGUUUUUUUACACAACCUCUUACAAAAUCUUGAAAAAUAUUUAGAGUUAACAGAUGUAAAUUCUGCAGACUUUCAAAAAGUGUUAUAGUCGAUGUGCUAACCGUAUCUAAUUUAUUUGUAAACGAAUAGCUCGACAGUUGUGAAUCAGACUGCAAUAAUAAGAUCACUACAAAAAAAGUGACAAGUGCAGCACUUUUCGGUGUCACGCAAAAGACGCCUGGCCAAAUAACACACAGAGCCGCCAUUUUCUUUCAUUACAAGAAAAAUAUUUUUCUAUGCGCUAAAGGUGGAAUAAAAUGAUACCACAAUUUCAAAAUGAUGCGAUUAUUUUAUCACCUUCAAAAAAAUUCAUGAAAAAUGCCUCAUUUUCGGCAGUCUAAAUAGUAUGCUCCCCUUAAAUGUUAAUUAGAGUCAAUAUAAAUGAAUUCGUUACAACAUAUAUGAUAUUUCGGUACACGCAUUGCCUGUUGUGUGAUCAUAACCCAUGCAUGAGAUAUGUACGAAUUCGUCAAAAGUUCUCAAAAUUCUUUCGGGAAUUUCAAUGUACCCGUAAGUAAUAACGUGCAUUUCAAACUAGCGCGCCAUACGCGGCCUUCCGGCCGCAGUGGGAAGGCACGACCGCUGACGUUCGCGCUUUGCGCUCACCAGCCCACCGACGCUCGCGCUUUGUAUAUUUCAAGAAUCUACAACUUUUUCAUUUAACUUUUCUUUGUAGAAUGCUUAGAUUUCAAGUUACAGCCUAAAAAGUGUUUUUAUUGCUGUAAAAACCCGAUUUUGGGCUGCUAACUUGAGUAGAAAGCAUUUUCAUGAUUUGAUGUCAACAGGAAAAAGUUUUUUUUUGGAAAGAUCUACAACUUUUCCAUUUAACAUUUUUUUGUAGAAUGCUUAGAAUUCGAGUUACAGACAAAAAACCGUUUUUAGCGAUUUUUGGAGGUGACCGCAUUCUGCGUAUAUGUACAGGAUCAAGCUCAAAAUAGAACCAUAAGGUUCUAGUGAUGAGAGGAGUCCCCAUAAAAAAUUUUAGCCCGAUUGACUGAAGUCUCUCAGAGAUAAUCGUGUAACAUGAAAAUUUUUAUUAAAUAAUACACGAAAAAAUCGUAAAAUCGAUCAAAUUGUGCUCCCAUUUUGAAACGACGUGGAGGAUCGGGAUAUAAAAAAAUAGUUUUUUAGUUUGUACCAGAGGAGACCUCCCCCAAAAUUUCAGCCCGAUCGGCCGAAAAUUGCGUGAGAUAUCGCAUCUCACACAUUUUUCGCGAUAGAAACUAUAAGGCACUUGCGUAUGGCGGUCGUGCCUAAAAAUGU
Molecule: long non-coding RNA, 1813 nt
Organism: Cephus cinctus (wheat stem sawfly)
Lineage: Eukaryota; Metazoa; Arthropoda; Insecta; Hymenoptera; Cephidae
Exons: 2
Source: RefSeq, a predicted model, not a curated record